Molecule: ribosomal RNA, 506 nt
Filed under: uncultured bacterium
Lineage: Bacteria
Description: partial 16S ribosomal RNA
Rfam family: Bacterial small subunit ribosomal RNA
Source: RNAcentral
AGUGAACGCUGGCGGUAGGCCUAACACAUGCAAGUCGAACGGCAGCACAGAGGAGCUUGCUCCUUGGGUGGCGAGUGGCGGACGGGUGAGGAAUACAUCGGAAUCUACUCUGUCGUGGGGGAUAACGUAGGGAAACUUACGCUAAUACCGCAUACGACCUACGGGUGAAAGCAGGGGACCUUCGGGCCUUGCGCGAUUGAAUGAGCCGAUGUCGGAUUAGCUAGUUGGCGGGGUAAAGGCCCACCAAGGCGACGAUCCGUAGCUGGUCGGAGAGGAUGAUCAGCCACACUGGAACUGAGACACGGUCCAGAAUCCUACGGGAGGCAGCAGUGGGGAAUAUUGGACAAUGGGCGCAAGCCUGAUCCAGCCAUACCGCGUGGGUGAAGAAGGCCUUCGGGUUGUAAAGCCCUUUUGUUGGGAAAGAAAUCCAGCUGGCUAAUACCCGGUUGGGAUGACGGUACCCAAAGAAUAAGCACCGGCUAACUUCGUGCCAGCCGCCGCCGCGG